CUACCAUGACAGUCGAGCGGAAACGAAAGGUGCUUGCACCUCUGGCGUCGAGCGGCGGAGGGAGAGUAAUGCCUGGGAAUUUGCCCAGUUGUGGGGGAUAACCAUGGGAAACGAUGGCUAAUACCGCAUAAACCCUACGGGGAAAAGGGGAGGCUCUUCGGACUUCUCGCAAUUGGAUAAGCCCAGGUGGGAUUAGCUAGUAGGUGAGGUAAAGGCUCACCUAGGCGACGAUCCCUAGCUGUUCUGAGAGGAUGAUCAGCCACACUGGAACUGAGACACGGUCCAGACUCCUACGGGAGGCAGCAGUGGGGAAUAUUGCACAAUGGGGGAAACCCUGAUGCAGCCAUGCCGCGUGUGUGAAGAAGGCCCUAGGGUUGUAAAGCACUUUCAGCGAGGAGGAAAGGUUAGUAGUUAAUACCUGCUAGCUGUGACGUUACUCGCAGAAGAAGCACCGGCUAACUCCGUGCCAGCAGCCGCGGUAAUACGGAGGGUGCGAGCGUUAAUCGGAAUUACUGGGCGUAAAGCGUGCGCAGGCGGUUUGCUAAGUCAGAUGUGAAAGCCCCGGGCUCAACCUGGGAAUCGCAUUUGAAACUGGCAAACUAGAGUCUUGUAGAGGGGGGUAGAAUUUCAGGUGUAGCGGUGAAAUGCGUAGAGAUCUGAAGGAAUACCGGUGGCGAAGGCGGCCCCCUGGACAAAGACUGACGCUCAGGCACGAAAGCGUGGGGAGCAAACAGGAUUAGAUACCCUGGUAGUCCACGCCGUAAACGAUGUCUACUCGGAAUUUGGUCUCUUGAAGACUGGGUUCUCAAGCUAACGCAUUAAGUAGACCGCCUGGGGAGUACGGCCGCAAGGUUAAAACUCAAAUGAAUUGACGGGGGCCCGCACAAGCGGUGGAGCAUGUGGUUUAAUUCGAUGCAACGCGAAGAACCUUACCUACUCUUGACAUCCAGAGAACUUUCCAGAGAUGGAUUGGUGCCUUCGGGAACUCUGAGACAGGUGCUGCAUGGCUGUCGUCAGCUCGGUGGAAU
Molecule: ribosomal RNA, 1028 nt
Filed under: Shewanella irciniae
Lineage: Bacteria; Pseudomonadati; Pseudomonadota; Gammaproteobacteria; Alteromonadales; Shewanellaceae
Description: bacterial SSU rRNA
Rfam family: Bacterial small subunit ribosomal RNA
Source: RNAcentral